CUAUUUUUAAAUUUGUUUUUAUUUUUUGACAAUGUCUAACAUAAUAGAUAGUAUUAAUUAUUUAUUAAGAGUAACAUAGAUAUUAGUCACUCUAACUUUUAACAUGAGAGAUCGAAUAUUAAAAAUCACUUCAUAAAUAAUAAUUUAGAUAUAUUUGAUAUAUUUUAUAAAUAUUGAAUAGUUUGGAUGGUUCAAAUAAAAAGAGAAAUAAAUCAGAUUAUUUCAAUUAUUUUAAAUACACCAAAUAAUUUGAAAAUAGGUAAAUUAAAUAUUUUAGUUUUAAAAUAGUUUUAAAUCUAAAUUAUAUUUUUUAGUAUUCAUUUGAUUUUUAACUCCAAAUAUUUUGGAUGUUAGAAAUAUAAAAAAUAGUUAUUCAUAUUUUUGGUUUACUUUUGUAAUUUGGUUUGGUAUUUAAUUUGCCAUGUCUAGUUUGAUUAACAAAGGUAUAAGGAUCUCCAAAAAAAAAGCAAACGGAAAUGUCGAACCCGUGACUUGAAGGUAUUGGCCGGCGCAACCUUAUGUAUUGAGACAGAACACUCUUUGGCUUUUUUUUCUCUCUCUCACACAGACAUCAUCCUCAUCACACCCUUUCCUCGCACGCUCACAUUCACCACCUCUCUUCUAUUCUUCUUUCAUGGCUUCUCUCUCAGAUCUGAUCCACCAGUUGCACUUCUUUGUUUUCCAAUCUUAAGAUCCAAACCUCUCGCCCAAAUCAGUCGUACCUAACCUCACGCGCCACCGCCAUGUCCACUCCACCACUGCUCCCUGUCACCAAUCAGCAAGCUGUUCAAUCUCAGCCACCAAUCAACACUCCCGCCUUCCAUACCUUCUUCUCACGCCUAUCCACCUCGAUCCGCGACGGCUUAUCACAACGCCGCCCAUUGGCAGAGCUCGUCGAUCGGAGCUCCAUGGCGCGACCUGAAUCCCUCACCGACGCUUUGUCACGGAUCCGGAAGAAUCUGGCCUACUUUAAGGUGAACUACGUCGCCGUCAUUCAAUUAUAAAGGAGGAGAAACAGAGGAAGUUGAAACGAAACCAUCAAGGAAUGAGUUAAGAAAAUAAUUGAAUGAGGAAGUGUGGGUUGUGUGUGAUAACGGUGAAUUGCAAUUAAAAGAAAAUUAAAAAAAGAAGAAAACGCAAGAGACGUGUGUUUUGUCGUCUCGUGAAGGAACGCCUCCUGGUGGACGCGUGUCAACAAACGAGAGGCUGGAGGUUUGGUUACGCAUUAAACGCAUCUCAAACUUGUCUUUCUCUCUCUCUCUCUCUCUCUCUCUCUCUCUCAAGCUCUCGACGAAGGCGAUAUGUUUGGCGAUUUGAUAGAUUAUGCAUGUGAUUGAGCCUCUUGUUGGUAUGAUCGGUUGUUACAUGUUGAUUCUCGUCGAAUCCUUCUCUCGGUGGUUCUCCUCGACGGCGCCGGAGCUCUCCUCUACGGUGCGGGAGCUCUCCUCGACGGCGACAGAGCUCUCCUCGAUGGCGAUAAAGCUGUAUGUCGGUGGCGACGGAGCUCUCUCACAGUGACUCUCCUCGAAUCGAAGGUAAAGCUUCUGUUGUCUCAUGUUCUGAAUUUUUUUUUAAUUUUUCAUGGAUCAAAAUCGAUUUGUUGUAUGGAUGGAUCAAAUUUGAUAUGUUCAAAAAUCACUGAUAAAAUCGUUUUGUAUAAGUUCUGACUUGUUGUUUGAGUGUGUGGGUUUCUCAAAUACAUUGUUGAUCAAGUUAGUAGUCUCUGACUUCCGGUUUCUCUGUUUGUAUGUUUUCAAUCUCAACGAUCCACGGUGCAAGAGGAAGGAACCUCAAAGCAGAAGAGUGCAAAGCAGAGCAAUACAGGUGAGAUUCAUAAGCUCCAUAAAGGAGGCAUCCAGCUGGUGAAUGUCUCGGAUGCGCUUGCCGAUCUAUUCCACCAAAUCAGAGGCGGGUAUAUCAAACGUAAAAAUAAACAUUGUGAAUAUGGGACUGCCACUGGCCAAUGUGUUUAUACAGUCAACCUCCAGGCGGCAGCAGGCUCGUUAAUCAGUGAAUCCCCAUGGGUUUUAGAUCGUAUAUGUUUGCAAUUAUGACAGUCGCUGUUGAGUUGGAUUUAUUAUCUCAUAAAUUUUGUUUAUAUACAAUUAUGCAGGCUUUUAACGUUUAAACGAGUAAAAAUUUGCAUCUUAA
Molecule: long non-coding RNA, 2151 nt
Organism: Brassica napus (rape)
Lineage: Eukaryota; Viridiplantae; Streptophyta; Magnoliopsida; Brassicales; Brassicaceae
Exons: 4
Source: RefSeq, a predicted model, not a curated record